RNAcentral lists this ribosomal RNA (423 nucleotides) under uncultured bacterium. RNAcentral describes it as "bacterial SSU rRNA". It matches the Rfam family "Bacterial small subunit ribosomal RNA", at positions 355 to 775 of the family's 1533-position model. The record is from RNAcentral.
UAGGGAAUCUUCCGCAAUGGACGAAAGUCUGACGGAGCAACGCCGCGUGAGUGAGGAAGGUCUUCGGAUCGUAAAACUCUGUUGUCAGGGAAGAACCGCCGGGAUGACCUCCCGGUCUGACGGUACCUGACGAGAAAGCCCCGGCUAACUACGUGCCAGCAGCCGCGGUAAUACGUAGGGGGCAAGCGUUGUCCGGAAUUAUUGGGCGUAAAGCGCGCGCAGACGGCUUCUUAAGUCGGGUGUGAAAGCCCACGGCUCAACCGUGGAGGGCCAUCUGAAACUGGGGAGCUUGAGUGCAGGAGAGGAGAGCGGAAUUCCACGUGUAGCGGUGAAAUGCGUAGAGAUGUGGAGGAACACCAGUGGCGAAGGCGGCUCUCUGGCCUGUAACUGACGCUGAGGCGCGAAAGCGUGGGGAGCAAACAG